GACGAACGCUGGCGGCGUGCUUAACACAUGCAAGUCGAACGGAAAGGCCCUGCUUUUGUGGGGUGCUCGAGUGGCGAACGGGUGAGUAACACGUGAGUAACCUGCCCUUGACUUUGGGAUAACUUCAGGAAACUGGGGCUAAUACCGGAUAGGAGCUCCUGCUGCAUGGUGGGGGUUGGAAAGUUUCGGCGGUUGGGGAUGGACUCGCGGCUUAUCAGCUUGUUGGUGGGGUAGUGGCUUACCAAGGCUUUGACGGGUAGCCGGCCUGAGAGGGUGACCGGCCACAUUGGGACUGAGAUACGACCCAGACUCCUACGGGAGGCAGCAGUGGGGAAUAUUGCACGAUGGGCGGAAGCCUGAUGCAGCAACGCCGCGUGCGGGAUGACGGCCUUCGGGUUGUAAACCGCUUUCGCCUGUGACGAAGCGUGAGUGACGGUAAUGGGUAAAGAAGCACCGGCUAACUACGUG
RNAcentral lists this ribosomal RNA (468 nucleotides) under uncultured bacterium. Its description in RNAcentral is "partial 16S ribosomal RNA". It matches the Rfam family "Bacterial small subunit ribosomal RNA", at positions 28 to 507 of the family's 1533-position model. The record is from RNAcentral.